GGUCAGCCUCAAUGCCCUCGGGGGGGACGGUGGCUGGGGGUUGAGUUUAGUCAGGCGAGGUGGCUCUUCCCUUCUUGACGCCGCGGAAGCCCUUUCUUGCCCUAGUUCCGGUGCUCUGGCCCGCGGCAGCCAGCCUCCCUAGGAUUGCGGGUGCACUGUGCAGAGCCCUGGGCUGCCCGGGUUCCGGGAGGCUCUGGGGGUGGAGGUGGAACCCUGCCCCGGGGAGAAGGGGUCAUAAGAGAGCAGGCCCACCCGAGCCUGUGACAAAAGGGGUGGCGGGUCCUCCUGCCAUCACCACAGUGACCCAGCCCAGAAGACAGCAGCCAGCCGAGCAGCGCUGGCACUUUUAUUUUAAAACGAAUUCUGAUACAGCAAGUGGGGCCUUUGGUCUCUUUUUCUUCCUUUUCCGAAUUCCAAGAACUUUAAGAAGGAAAAGAACCAACAGAGGCUCUGGCUGAGCCAUUUCAAUAGAGCGUGAGGACAUUUCUAACUUGCAAAGCUUCGCCCUGCGCCCUAGUCCCAGCUGAGUGUUCCAGGGGCUGCGAGUGGUGUGGAUGCUCCGAUUAAGAUGCUGGAAUGAAAUGGUGGGGAAAUCAUUUCCGGCCCAAGCUCCUGGGUUCAUGAGAGUGUAUCCCUUCCUGUGGCUCCAUCAUCACGUGAAGAUUCUCUGUUUGACUCACUUGGUAACAAGGACAGAACUGGGUCCUCAGAGGGCCUUUUCCAGGUUUUAUUCCCUGAAUCGUUUAACUCCAGCUGGACCUCAAUGUUUGGAAAGGUCACAUCCUCACUGCCCUCCGGAGGCUGAGCAGAGUCCCCUUCCUGGGUUGCUGAGCGACGUGGCUGACAGGUGGUCCAAGACCUAGGGAGCCUCGCCCCGAGUCUUCUCUGGACCACGGCCGUAAGUCCUCCACGCAGGGCCCAGGGCGCCUUUUAUCAGCACAGGCCAGUGUGGGAGUUGUUCUGCUCUCAGGGCCAGUGGGGAUUCGAGGAGGACACUGGGAGGGUCACAGCACCGGUACCGGUCUGAGAAGGCUUUAGCUUGUGCUGGGUGUGCUGACGGGAGGCGGCCACUUUCAGGGCCUUAGUUUGGUUCUGGCAUCAGCGAAACUGGAAUGGCUUUGCUAAACAAGCUAGGGACCAUUACAUUUUUGUUGCUGUUUUGUUUUGGUUUUGUUUUUGUCUUUUUGCCUUUUUCUUUUUUUUUUUUUUUUUUUUUCUCUUUUGUC
Molecule: long non-coding RNA, 1226 nt
Filed under: Sus scrofa (pig)
Lineage: Eukaryota; Metazoa; Chordata; Mammalia; Artiodactyla; Suidae
Description: lncRNA (ENSSSCG00005019294.1)
Source: RNAcentral